Molecule: long non-coding RNA, 526 nt
Filed under: Vigna radiata
Lineage: Eukaryota; Viridiplantae; Streptophyta; Magnoliopsida; Fabales; Fabaceae
Description: long non-coding RNA (VRAD_LNC003829)
Source: RNAcentral
GAGAGUUGAGUUUGAUUUCAAUGAUUUUAUGACUAAUUCCCCUCAUUUUGAGAGAGAAUUAGGUAAUAUUGGAAGAAGAGAAGAAAGACCAAGAAGAGGGAGCUCAGAAGGGGUUAAAAAGGCACCAAAAGGACGGAAAACACGCAGCCCGGGCGUCUAGAAACGCAGCUGAAGCGAGAAAAAUCGAUAUCUGCUGCCCAGGCGGUGGCCCUCGAUGCCCGGGCGGCGGGGCUUUGUAGCCUGGGCGUCCAAAUCUGACGCCUGGGCAUUACAUGACCCUCAAUUCAUGCUCGGGCAGCCCCCCUACGACGCUUGAGCGAGAAUUCACAUGGAUCGGGCCCUGUCUCUACUCUGUUUUGAUUCUUUUGGACCAGGGCUCACUCUGGCACGCCUCUGACACUAUUUGAAGGACCCUAAGGCUCUAUGUUUUGCAUCCCUGGCAGAAAAGAUCAUAGAAAUACACUCUUUAUCCAAUUCUUAGGCUUUCUUUCUCAUUCUUUCUUCCAUUGUUCAUAGAGUUCCCUCA